UACGUAGGGUGAGAGCGUUGUCCGGAAUUAUUGGGCGUAAAGAGCUUGUAGGCGGUCUGUCGCGUCUGCUGGGAAAAUCCGGGGCUCAACCCCGGACUUGCAGUGGGUACGGGCAGACUAGAGUGUGGUAGGGGAGACUGGAAUUCCUGGUGUAGCGGUGAAAUGCGCAGAUAUCAGGAGGAACACCGAUGGCGAAGGCAGGUCUCUGGGCCACUACUGACGCUGAGAAGCGAAAGCAUGGGGAGCGAACAGG
RNAcentral lists this ribosomal RNA (253 nucleotides) under uncultured bacterium. RNAcentral's name for it is "partial 16S ribosomal RNA". It matches the Rfam family "Bacterial small subunit ribosomal RNA", at positions 524 to 776 of the family's 1533-position model. The record is from RNAcentral.